This 324-nucleotide ribosomal RNA is filed under the name uncultured eukaryote. RNAcentral's name for it is "partial 18S ribosomal RNA". It matches the Rfam family "Eukaryotic small subunit ribosomal RNA", at positions 1470 to 1796 of the family's 1831-position model. The record is from RNAcentral.
CCCUUAGAUGUUCUGGGCUGCACGCGCGCUACACUGAAGCUAUCAACACGUUUUCCCUCCCUGAGAAGGGCGGGUAACCUUUUGAAUCAGCUUCGUGGUAGGGAUCGGGGCUUGCAAUUGUUCCCCGUGAACCAGGAAUUCCUAGUAGACGCGAGUCAUAAGCUCGCAUCGAUCAAGUCCCUGCCCUUUGUACACACCGCCCGUCGCUACUACCGAUUGAACGUUUUAGUGAGGCAUUUGGACCGACGCAUCUCAGUUUAACCGCUGGUUUGUGUUGGAAAGACUUCCAAACUUGAGCGUUUAGAGGAAGUAAAAGUCGUAACA